UGCGCGUGCGCCGGAGCGUGCGUGCAUGCGUGCGUGCGCGCGCAUCCGCCGCCUAGAAUCUGCCACGUUCCGGCCCAGCGAAACCCUGACAGGAUUCCCUGCGUCUGCGCGGGGACUGUGAAGGGCACAGCAAGGCUGCACUGCCUCCAAACAGCAGAAAGCCCCUCUUUGAAGAGCUUGGUCCUCCUCACAUCGUCUUUCCAAGGCAGGGACUUCUCUCCUCAGAGGAUAUUCUGAAGCAGCUCUGCCCUGAGGGGAUUAGGGCUGGGGGCAGCCUAAUCGCAUUCUUGGAGGAAACUGCAUGGUUAUUUGAAAAGCUUGACACCUGCUUAAGCAAAAGACUGGAAAAAGAACAAGAGGCAGCUUCCGUAGUUAGAAAGCCCAUCUGGGUCACCGUAAGCCAAGUUUUUGGGAUGGAAAGAUGCAGCAGGAAGCAUGGCUUGAAUCGCCAAGGCAUUUGCCUCAGUGAUGUCCUCUCACCUUGAACUUGAAGUCUGGAUGCUGGAAGCGCCCGGGUUCCUAAAGAGCCUGACUGACCUUCUGCUGGUGACUGUCCUGCCUUCAGUUUCCACGUUCUCAUUUGGCAGACAGAAGCCUCAGAUCAUCUGCCUCUGUGAUUGUGAGCCCUGGUUCUGAGAGAAUGCACUGAACUGAUCACAUUCUGUUAUGAUCCUUGUGGUUCUCACGCUUGAAUAAGAAAGAAUCUUGCAUUCAGUGCCUAGCUGGCUGGCCAGGCUGGGUCUCUGGGAGGAUCUCCCUCAUGAAAGCGAGGCUGACUGCUGGCCCUCCCUGCCACCUCCACCCUUGCAACCUGGCUGAGCAAACAGAAUCGCCCUCCCCAGUACAGGUGGGCAUAAUCCAGUUUUUUGAAGGUCUGAAUGGACCAAAAAGGCAGAGGCAGGGCAAAUUUGCUCUCUCCUGAGCUGGGACAUCAUCUUCUCCUGCCUUUGGACAUUCAUGUUCCUGGUUCUCAGGCCUUUGGACUUGGACAGAGACUUGCCUAGUUGGUUUGCUGGUUUUAAGGCCUUUGGGCUCGGGUGGUAUCUGCACCAUCAGCUCUCCUUGGCCUCCAACUUGCAUUUGGAAGAUCAUUGGACACGUCAGCCAACAUAUUCAACUGAAGCCAAUCCUUCCUUAUCUUUUUCUAUAUAUCUGAAAAACAACCAACAAAAAACCGUGGUAUGAUUUCCAAACAAUUCCUGGAUGGCCCUCAGUUAGAAUCUGUCUUUUAACAGUUUCUCUGGGGGAUUGUGAGGCCACUGGCCAGAGGAUGGCAGUUUGAGAACCACAGCCUUGGGAGUUUGCUGGGGCUACCCACACCACAUUUUGCAUACCGUCAAGGCUUGCCUUUGGGGAAUGAUUUAAUUCACUUCACACAUCUGGCUUGUCUAGGCAAGCUCCCUGCAGUACCUUCCAGGGGACCCCCUGCUACUCACUAGCUGCCCACCAACUUUGGAAUACUAGUAGGAAAUGUCUUUGACUGUAGGAAAGCUUGAUUCUCAAAAUGUGGUUCCUAAGGCAUCAGGAACAGCACCUAGAACUUGCUUGAAAUGCUGGUUCAUGGGCCCUACCCAUGAAUCCCCUAUCUCGGGAUUCUGCAGCUCAGGGGCAGGAGCCCUCUUGUGACAGGCAGUGGAACAGACCAACCAGACGGAACAGACCCUGGAAUCUAUCCAUUGGCCCGCUUUGGACUGGAAGGGGUUGGAGGUGGGGGUAACUCUCCACUCGCCCAAGUGUGCAGGUGCUGAGACUUUAUGAAGCUCCCACUAGGAAUGCUGAUUGUUUAUUCUCUCCUCUAACAUGCCCCCUCACCUACACCCAGUUAUUUCUAGCUGAGAGGCAGGUUUGGUGUUUCUGACUCAAUUCAUUCUUGUACUGAACAAAUAAAUGCUCAACAGCUAUCAUGUGCCAUCACUCUUCUGGGUACUGGGAUAUACUGCUAGGACUGUGCCUUCAUGGAAAUAAAUAAAUU
Molecule: long non-coding RNA, 1972 nt
Organism: Manis javanica (Malayan pangolin)
Lineage: Eukaryota; Metazoa; Chordata; Mammalia; Pholidota; Manidae
Source: RefSeq, a predicted model, not a curated record